GUCUAGAAUUAAUUGCUUAGCAUAACUUGCUUAGCAUUAGUAGCUAAAUUUGCUGAAGCCUUAGGCCUCAGGCUGUGAACUUUUACUUAGAUAAGUAAAAGGGGGCCCCAGGGCCUGUUCAAGCUGAAGAGAUAAAGUUGCACGGACGGCAGGAGUAGCCAACCUUGAAGAUAAGAAGUAGCCUGCCUAGAGACAAUGAAGGGGCCCAGUGAAGAAGGGGAAGAACCCAGACCUAACUAUUACUAUUGGUCCAAACUAUCGCUUAAGGGGUGGGGAAUUUAGAUUGUAAGGGUAUAAUUGCCCAGGGAUUUCUUUGUUCGGGGUCCCUCUUUGGAGGCACCCAGCUCGAGCUGUAAUUACUGCACGUGUAUCAUUAAAUUUUAUUUCUCUCCAAUCUGACUUCGAACUUCUGCCUCAGCAGGAACCUAGGGUUGGACCCUGUUAUGGAGGCCGGCGAGCCUGAUUUUCCAUAACAUAAUGAUCUCUCUGUGAUUUAGAGGCUUCUGCUGUAUUAUAUCAAAGAAGAGGAGACCCUAUAUGCUGGAAUUGGGAUAGAAGCCAGCAGGGAAGUUUAAACCUUGGAAAAAUUUCAGAGUUGCCACUUUUUCCUACGUGUAAUGACAGAGGACAUAUUACUGCAUAUUUGCACAACUUAUUCACUAGCUGAAUACCAUCUUGUGAAAACUGUGCCUUCACUUUUGGAGAGCUUGACUCAAGGUGGGCGGGAAAAGAAAGGCUUCUCUGAAUCUACUGUGCCAAGCACAAGGUCUUGCCCUUUAUCUUCAAGCUCAGGAUAUCCGAAAAAUUGCUUACUGCUUCAGCACAAAGUCUAUAAAUUAUGGCUCCAUUUGUCAUGAGUUAUGGAUGAUUCUUCUGUGCUGGGACGUUUUUCCAUGCAGGUGACAGAGCUAUCUCAGAGUCCAGGCUGAAACUGGGCAAUGAGUUCCCUGUAGUGCUUAGAUUUGUCUCAGACUUUCCCCUUCUCCGUGCCAGAUGAAAGAUGCCUUUUUUUUUAAUCUGCCUUCUCCACUACCGAUACAGGGAAUAGGUGUACGCAGGAGAUAUUCCACCAGGCAGCCCUGUGGAGUUUUCUGCAGAAAUUGCCUCAAGAAGUUGACCCAGGGCAGUAUUAUUGGAUUUUACUGAAAAACCACUGAAAGAAAACAGAAGGUUAUUUUUAUCAUAUUAAUUUUAAAAUCACUUGAAAAACAUUGCUAUGAACCCCAGUUAACAAAAAGUCAAAGACACAGUGCUAUUGCACAAAUAUAUCAGGCUUUAAAUGUUACCUUGAGUUAAAAAUCUGCUUGCACUAAUCUGUGGUCAUUCUAUAAUCAGUUCCUAAUAGAGGAAUAAUGCUAGCAGAAAAAAUCACAUAGCUAAGUAUAAAAGUUUUAUAUAAUCUCCUUCCAUAAGUCUAAAAAUCUUAAGCAGUAGAAUAUAAUAUGAGCCUCAUCUUUUUAUAUGUUUCCUUCUUUUCGCUUAAUUUCUAGGACUUCAGUUGAGAAUUAAACACUUUCUUUGGUUCAGAUAUGUGUUCCUUCCCAUUAUGUUGUUUGUUCAGGGUGACUGUGGUGAGAUUGAUGUUGAGUGAUCGGAGUGAAAUCAAUGAUGUGAUUUAUUAGCCACUUCUAGAA
This 1634-nucleotide long non-coding RNA is filed under the name Apteryx owenii (little spotted kiwi). RNAcentral describes it as "lncRNA (ENSAOWG00000017738.1)". Lineage: Eukaryota; Metazoa; Chordata; Aves; Apterygiformes; Apterygidae. The record is from RNAcentral.